GUGAAUUGUAGUCUAAAGCUGCUUUGU
Molecule: non-coding RNA, 27 nt
Filed under: Cricetulus griseus (Chinese hamster)
Lineage: Eukaryota; Metazoa; Chordata; Mammalia; Rodentia; Cricetidae
Source: RNAcentral